Long non-coding RNA from Fukomys damarensis (Damara mole-rat), 1868 nucleotides. RefSeq lists it as uncharacterized. The record is from RefSeq and is a predicted model, not a curated record. The transcript has 9 exons. Lineage: Eukaryota; Metazoa; Chordata; Mammalia; Rodentia; Bathyergidae.
UAAAGCAGGUGUUCCAGAAACUUCCCCGGAAUUCUUGUGGUGAUUCCAUGUUUUGUCCUCCACGUUCAGCCACCCCCCCCCCGGAAACUGUUGCACGAGCGGGCUUGCAGACGGAAACAACAUUUGGCGCCUGAACAGGGGACUGCUAUACUGGGUAAAGAUUGAAGUUUCGGGUGAAUGCUUUGAAAAGUGGCCAAAAGGAAAGAGAACACAGGAGACUCUCAAGGCUGAGGAACAGUGGUGGUCUUUAUCCUGUUCUCCAAGUAGUGGACACACUUGCUCAGCCCUCGGGAAACAUCUUAGAGAAGGACCUGGAGAGGAGUGACUUUGUGGUAUACCUAGAGAGACUGAGUAUUAGACUUUGGAGAGUGCUCUCUUCGGCAGCACAUAUACUAAAAUAAACUUUGGAGCAAAGAUACCUGUGCUGAGCUUGGCAGAAGUCAGCAGAGCUGCCUGACCUUCAGUGAUCAUAAGAACUUGGAUGCUGAGCACAUGAAUGGUGAUUAGUAUGAACUGAAAACAAGUGGACUCCGCCCAAGUGACACGCUCUGGGGCCUCCGACUGCACCCCAUGAUGUACCCUAAGGAUGCUUCGGUACACUCACAGUCCACACCGCAGUGGUGGUUGCUUUUCAUUUGGCCCCAGCCUGACAGGUCCAAGGUGAUGGGGCCAAGAAACUAUGGGCUGAAUCUUAUGAAACUGUUCCCUCUGAAGUCUGGAAUCCUUGGGUUUCCAUUAAGGAACUGGUAACUAGUGCACACUGAAGGCCAGUCUCGGGCAACAAGGACCCGCACGUUGGAUCCAGAAUUGCUAAACUACCUAAUAUGUGUAUGGGACCGGGAACAUAAAAAGAGACAGAAGAGGACCCAAGUUGGAGGGCUUGUUUUCAGAGCAGAUGGAGAGGAAAGACACAGGCACUGUGAUAUCUUUUCUCACCUCCAGUGGCAUGUUCAGGCUCAAGACUCUUCCUUCUUGAAAGGUUCCUUCUUCAUCAUGCAAGUCCUGUCAGUUUUUCCUCACUCCUAACUCCAACAUUCUGUCGGGGGUUAUGGUCCUGGGAACGAGCUUCAGAGAGAAACUUUUCUCAGGAUAAAGAAUUAAUGGGUAGAUACUUGGAAGCUUGCAUGGUCAGAUGGACGUGCGGAUGAACCAGGGCCACUGUCAUCAGGAUGCCUGGGAGAGUGAAGAAAGGCCUGAUUGAUCACAAGGUCCUAUCAAAUGUCAAAGCUGGCCCUGGAUGACCUCCCAUCUAUUCAGAGCUGCUUUGAUUUAAUCUCUAAACUGGCCGCUUCUGCAGGCUGCGAGUUCUAUCUGCAACCCAUGUGUCAGCAUUGAGAUAUGACCUGCUUCACGCUCCAUUCAUCUCAUUUGAAGGACGGAAAUUAAACUCAAGGGUCGAAGAGGGGAACUGCUCAAAAUACACGCACAUUAACGGAAGCCUUUUGUGUGGGUGCAUUAUAGGAGUUUGAACAACCAUUAAAAAUUAUAUUAAAAUGAAAUUGAUCUUUACUCCACUGAAAUGGUUUAGAAUUUUGCUUCCUUCACCACCUCUCCAUUCAUGCUUCUUUCUUCUCUCCUCUGUUUGUAGUAAUCAUAUGUACCUGAUCUCAUUAAGGUUCAGAGUAAAAGAGGAGAAAAACUUACAAUUUUUCAGUUUCUGUAAAAAUGGUGCCCUUUGGAAAAUUCAUGUUUUGUCUGUAAUUUGCACAGGCAAUUUAAAAAGAAGAAAGAUAAGAAAAGCUGAUAAGCAUGCUAAUAGAAAUGUAGCCCAGCUUAAAUGAAUCAAUACUCAUUUAAGUUUCACCUUUAAAAGUUUUUUUUUUUUAUUCAAUUAAAACUCAACUUUUGGAAUAGUCUUUUGACUAAUA